RNAcentral lists this ribosomal RNA (253 nucleotides) under uncultured bacterium. RNAcentral describes it as "partial 16S ribosomal RNA". It matches the Rfam family "Bacterial small subunit ribosomal RNA", at positions 524 to 776 of the family's 1533-position model. The record is from RNAcentral.
CACGUAGGGCGCAAGCGUUGUCCGGAAUUAUUGGGCGUAAAGAGCUCGUAGGCGGUCUGUUGCGUCCGCUGUGAAAACUCGGGGCUUAACCCCGAGCCUGCAGUGGAUACGGGCAGACUAGAGGUAGGUAGGGGAGAAUGGAAUUCCCGGUGUAGCGGUGAAAUGCGCAGAUAUCAGGAGGAACACCGAUGGCGAAGGCAGAUCUCUGGGCCGUAACUGACGCUGAGGAGCGAAAGCGUGGGGAGCGAACAGG